ACUGGGGUGGCAGAGCAUGGUAAAUUGCAAAAGGCCUAAGCCCUUUUAGCCAGAGGUUCAAAUCCUCUUCCCAGUU
This 76-nucleotide transfer RNA is filed under the name Acrossocheilus paradoxus (Taiwan torrent carp). RNAcentral describes it as "tRNA-Leu". It matches the Rfam family "tRNA". Rfam says of the family: Transfer RNA (tRNA) molecules are approximately 80 nucleotides in length. Their secondary structure includes four short double-helical elements and three loops (D, anti-codon, and T loops). Further hydrogen bonds mediate the characteristic L-shaped molecular structure. tRNAs have two regions of fundamental functional importance: the anti-codon, which is responsible for specific mRNA codon recognition, and the 3' end, to which the tRNAs corresponding amino acid is attached (by aminoacyl-tRNA synthetases). tRNAs cope with the degeneracy of the genetic code in two manners: having more than one tRNA (with a specific anti-codon) for a particular amino acid; and 'wobble' base-pairing, i.e. permitting non-standard base-pairing at the 3rd anti-codon position. RNAcentral also lists the same sequence under 2 other names. The record is from RNAcentral. Lineage: Eukaryota; Metazoa; Chordata; Actinopteri; Cypriniformes; Cyprinidae.